Molecule: ribosomal RNA, 216 nt
Filed under: uncultured bacterium
Lineage: Bacteria
Description: partial 16S ribosomal RNA
Rfam family: Bacterial small subunit ribosomal RNA
Source: RNAcentral
AACGAACGCUGGCGGCGCGCCUAACACAUGCAAGUCGAACGAGAAGGCGUAGCAAUACGCUUGUAGAGUGGCGAACGGGUGAGUAAUACGUGGGUGACCUACCCUCGAGUGGGGAAUAACCCGGGGAACCUGGCUAAUACCGCAUACGCGUCCUUUUGGCUCACGCCAGGGGAGGAAAGGACGCAAGCCGUUCGAGGAGGGGCCCGCGCCGAUUAG